CAAUAGCGUAUAUUUAAGUUGUUGCAGUUAAAAAGCUCGUAGUUGGAUUUGUGGUUCGUCCCGCCGGCUGGGUCAUUGACCUUUGCUGUGCUGGUCGUCCAUCCUUGGGUGGAAUCUGUGUGGCAUUAGGUUGUCGCGCAGGGGAUGCCCAUCGUUUACUGUGAAAAAAUUAGAGUGUUCAAAGCAGGCUUAUGCCGUUGAAUAUAUUAGCAUGGAAUAAUGAUAUAGGACCUUGGUACUAUUUUGUUGGUUUGCGCACUGAGGUAAUGAUUAAUAGGGACAGUUGGGGGUAUUCGUAUUCCAUUGUAAGAGGUGAAAUUCUUGGAUUUUUGGAAGACGAACUACUGCGAAAGCAUUUACCAAGGAUGUUUNCAUUAA
This 378-nucleotide ribosomal RNA is filed under the name uncultured eukaryote. RNAcentral describes it as "partial 18S ribosomal RNA". It matches the Rfam family "Eukaryotic small subunit ribosomal RNA", at positions 592 to 976 of the family's 1831-position model. The record is from RNAcentral.